UACGUAGGGUGCGAGCGUUAAUCGGAAUUACUGGGCGUAAAGCGUGCGCAGGCGGUUUUGUAAGCCAGAUGUGAAAUCCCCGGGCUUAACCUGGGAAUGGCAUUUGGGACUGCAAGGCUCGAGUGCGGCAGAGGAGACUGGAAUUCCUGGUGUAGCAGUGAAAUGCGUAGAUAUCAGGAAGAACACCAAUGGCGAAAGCAGCUCUCUGGGACGGUACUGACGCUGAGACGCGAAAGCGUGGGGAGCGAACAGG
RNAcentral lists this ribosomal RNA (253 nucleotides) under uncultured bacterium. RNAcentral describes it as "partial 16S ribosomal RNA". It matches the Rfam family "Bacterial small subunit ribosomal RNA", at positions 524 to 776 of the family's 1533-position model. The record is from RNAcentral.